This 365-nucleotide ribosomal RNA is filed under the name uncultured eukaryote. RNAcentral describes it as "partial 18S ribosomal RNA". It matches the Rfam family "Eukaryotic small subunit ribosomal RNA", at positions 592 to 976 of the family's 1831-position model. The record is from RNAcentral.
CAAUAGCGUAUAUUUAAGUUGUUGCAGUUAAAAAGCUCGUAGUCGGAUUUUGGCUGAGAACGAACGGUCCGCCGUUAGGUAUGCACUGUUUGGUCUCAGCUUCCUGGUGAGGAGGUGUGCUUCACGGCCACUUAGUCACCGUGGUUACUUUGAAAAAAUUAGAGUGUUCAAAGCGGGCUUACGCUUGAAUAUAUUAGCAUGGAAUAACACCAUAGGACUCCUGUCCUAUUUCGUUGGUCUCGGGACGGGAGUAAUGAUUAAGAGGAACAGUUGGGGGCAUUCGUAUUUCAUUGUCAGAGGUGAAAUUCUUGGAUUUAUGAAAGACGAACUUCUGCGAAAGCAUUUGCCAAGGAUGUUUUCAUUGA